GGAACUACUGUGACAACCAGGAGGUUGGCUUAGAAGCAGCCAUCCUUGAAAGAAUGCGUAACAGCGCACUGGUCAAGUGGUUCUGCACGGAAAAGGUAACGGGGCUAAGCCUAGCACCGAAGCCAUGGGCCUCAGCAUUUGCUGGGGCGGUCGGCGAGCGCUCUGUCUGCCGUGAAGGUCGAUCGAAAGGACGGCUGGAGCGGGCAGAAGUGAGAAUGCAGGUAUGAGUAGCGUAAAACAUGUGAGAACCAUGUUCGCCGUAAGUCUGAGGUUUCCGACGGCAGGUCAAUCCGCGUCGGGUUAGUCGGGCCUUAGCCGAGGCCGAAAGGCGUAGGCGAUGGACAUCCGGUCAACAUUCCGGAACCGCUCAAUAGGAGCGAUGGGGGGACGCAACGAGGUAGACCAGCCUGUGAUUGGAUUCAGGUGUAAGUGCGUAGGCGUUGAGGUCCGCAGGUAAAUCCACGGACUGAGCUGAGGCACGAAUACGAGCCCUUGAGGUAGAAGUGGUUGAGCCUUGUUGCCGAGAAAAGCCUCUAAGCGAUGAUUAUUGAGCGCCCGUACCGUAAACCGACACUGGUAGACGGGUAGAGAAUACCAAGGCGAACGGGAGAACCCUCGUUAAGGAACUCGGCAAAUUAACCCCGUAACUUCGGGAGAAGGGGUGCCUUUUGACGUGAAAGUAAAUCUACUGGAGCGUUGAGGGGCCGCAGUGAAAUGGAUCUAAUGACUGGUUAACAAAACCACAGGUCUCUGCAAAGUCGUAAGACGAUGUAUAGGGGCUGACACCUGCCCAGUGCCUGAAGGUCAAAGGGAGGGGUUAGCUGUAAAGCGAAGCUCUGAACUCAAGCCCAGGUGAACGGCGGCCGUAACUAUAACGGUCCUAAGGUAGCGAAAUUCCUUGUCGGGUAAGUUCCGACCCGCACGAAUGGUGUAACAAUUGGAUCACUGUCUCAACGAGGGACCCGGUGAAAUUGAAGUACGUGUAAAGAUGCGGGUUGCCCGCAGCAGGACAAAAGGGCCCCGGGGAGCUUUACUGUAGCUUGACAUUGUGUUUGGGUAUAGUUUGUGUAGUAUAGGUGGGAGGCUUUGAAGCUGGCACGUCAGUGUCGGUGGAGCCAUCAGUGAAAUAACACCCUGACUAUAUCUAGGCACUAACCUCACGCCGUAAUGCGGGUGAGGGACCGUGUCAGGUGGGCAGUUUGACUGGGGUGGUCGCCUCCCAAAGAGUAACGGAGGCGCCCAAAGGUUCCCUCAGGCUGAAUGGCAACCAGCCGUAGAGUGUAAAGGCACAAGGGAGCUUGACUGUGAGACAUACACGUCGAGCAGAUACGAAAGUAGGGCUUAGUGAUCCCACGGUACCGAGUGGAAGGGCCGUGGCUUACCGGAUAAAAGCUACCCCGGGGAUAACAGGCUAGUCUGGUCCAAGAGUUCACAUCGACGACCAGGCUCGGCACCUCGAUGUCGGCUCAUCGCAUCCUGGGGCUGGAUAAGGUCCCAAGGGUUGGGCUGUUCGCCCAUUAAAGCGGUACGCGAGCUGGGUUCAGACCGUCGUGAGACAGGUCGGUCUCUAUCCGCUGUGGGCGUAAGGAAUUUGAGAGGAGCUGCUCCUAGUACGAGAGGACCGGAGUGGACAAACCUCUGGUGUGCCAGGUGUUCCGCCAGGAGCAUCGCUGGGUAGCCACGUUUGGCAGGGAUAACCGCUGAAAGCAUCUAAGCGGGAAGCUCGCCUCAAGAUAAGAUUCCUCAUCCCGUUAAGGGAGUAAGUCCGCAAGAAGACUACUUGCUUGAUAGGCAGCAUGUGUAAGCACAGCAAUGUGUUCAGCUAAGCUGUACUAAUGGUCGAGGGCUUAACUCC
Molecule: ribosomal RNA, 1855 nt
Filed under: marine sediment metagenome
Description: bacterial LSU rRNA
Rfam family: Bacterial large subunit ribosomal RNA
Source: RNAcentral